Drosophila montana is the source of this 552-nucleotide long non-coding RNA. RefSeq lists it as uncharacterized. The transcript has 3 exons. Lineage: Eukaryota; Metazoa; Arthropoda; Insecta; Diptera; Drosophilidae. The record is from RefSeq and is a predicted model, not a curated record.
GUAUAAUGCUGUUUCCGUUUAGCGUAUUAGGAAUAUUCCUGUUUUUAUGUGAUAGUUCCAAUAGCAAGCGCAAUUGGGACUUCGAACUUAUCUCCAUAUACUCGAACUCUACUGAUGAGAGCAAAAUGAAAAUAGAUCUGCACAUCAAACGGAUGCGACGUGGCGAAUCUGCAAUAUUCGGCGAAUGGACAUGGCAAUAUGAUAUUGACGACACCACCGGGAUUGAAAUGAAAUCAUUCAGUUCCCCAAGUGGAGCCGAGAAUGACUAUAAACCGUUGCCCUACCAUAUACCAAAUAUGAAAUUUGACGAUUUUUUAGAUAGAUACUAUAACGAUUUGUUCUAUAAAAAUUAUAACCACUGCACAAAUUUGCCGCUAUAUAAAAACAAAGUCGAAACCCCGUGGAGCAAGACAACUUUUAGAUACGAAAAUUGUGUGCCCAUAGGGUACGGAGUACCAGAAAUUCUGCCGGAAAGCUUCUAUAAAAUAAUUGCCCGUAUUACCGGCGAGGUGGAGGCUUAUUUCGUAUUUGUUGUUAAGAUCUCUCGGAAAU